UACAGAGGGUGCGAGCGUUGUCCGGAAUCACUGGGCGUAAAGGGCGCGUAGGUGGCUUGGUAAGCGUGUGGUGAAAGUCCGGGGCUCAACCCCGGAUCUGCCGUGCGAACUGCUGAGCUCGAGCAAUGUAGAGGCAGGUGGAAUUUCGGGUGUAGCGGUGGAAUGCGUAGAUAUCCGAAAGAACACCAGUGGCGAAGGCGGCUUUCUGGCCUAUUCUUGACGCUGAGGCGCGAAAGCUAGGGGAGCGAACGGG
Molecule: ribosomal RNA, 253 nt
Filed under: uncultured bacterium
Lineage: Bacteria
Description: partial 16S ribosomal RNA
Rfam family: Bacterial small subunit ribosomal RNA
Source: RNAcentral